Molecule: unclassified non-coding RNA, 431 nt
Filed under: Hevea brasiliensis (rubber tree)
Lineage: Eukaryota; Viridiplantae; Streptophyta; Magnoliopsida; Malpighiales; Euphorbiaceae
Source: RNAcentral
GUUCUUGAUUAUUUCUCAUCAAGGCCUCUAAAGAAUCAAGCUUUCAAUCCGAACUAUUAAAAUUUCAAGUAAUCAUCAUACAUCAUUAACCAAUCCCUGAGGUGCCCAAUAUGAGCACAAAAACAGGGACAAUUCCCAAGGAGUUGAAGGAAUUCAUCAAUUUCUUUAUUGCUUAGUUCACGAGCCAUGGAAAGAGUUACAGGUGGGGCAAUGCAGGCCAUCAGGUACAAGCACAAAAUUUCCUUGAAAAUUUGUAGACAGUAGCUUGUCAUUAUAAGGAGAUGUUUCCAAGAGAGUAGAGGUGGGAACCUGAAGGUUCUUUUGAGGCUUUUUUUCUUCUCUUUCCAUCGAGACAUGCAGUAAUAUCAUAUCUAUAUUCAAAUACUCGAAAGAUUUGCUGAGCCAGUUUAAUUAACAAGCACCUUCUUUUU